CCCGCUGAACUUAAGCAUAUCAAUAAGCGGAGGAAAAGAAACUAACAAGGAUUCCCUCAGUAACGGCGAGUGAAGCGGGAAGAGCUCAAAUUUAAAAUCUGGCUUACUUGUAAGGCCGAGUUGUAGUCUGAAGAAACGUUUUCCAUAAGCACAGAGGCACAAGUCCCUUGGAACAGGGGAUCAUAGAGGGUGAGAAUCCCGUCCAUGGUCUCCAAUUGUUUAUUAUGUGAUACUUAUACAGAGAGUCAGUUUGUUUGGGAACACAGCUUAAAAUGGGUUGUAAAUUUCAUUUAAAGAUAAAUAUGGUCGAGAGGCAGAUAGCGCACAAGUGCUGUGAGGUAAAGAUGAAAAGUACUUAGAAAAGAGAGUUAGACAGUGCGCGAAAUUGUUGAAAGAGAGCUGUUAGAAGCCAGUCUAAGUGACUGGUGCUCAGUGUGUGACUGUUGCAUGAAUGCACUCUCGGAGUAAGGUAGGCUCAACGACAGUUUAGAACUGCGAGAAAAAAAUUUGGCAAAUGUGGCCUUCGGGUGUUAUAUUACCUUAUGAAAUAUCAUAAUGUGGAGUGAGAAUCGCAGUAAAAAGGUGUGCAGGUAGACUUCCUGUGGUGAAUGCUUAUUAGGACAGCUUAUUGACCUAGUCUUCAUGAGCCUCGACUCUUCGCGCUUGCUUCUAAUUUGCUUAGGUCGUUGGCAUAAUGGCUUUAAAUGACCCGUCUUGAAACACGG
This 725-nucleotide ribosomal RNA is filed under the name uncultured fungus. RNAcentral's name for it is "eukaryotic LSU rRNA". It matches the Rfam family "Eukaryotic large subunit ribosomal RNA", at positions 24 to 664 of the family's 3401-position model. Lineage: Eukaryota; Fungi. The record is from RNAcentral.